Molecule: unclassified non-coding RNA, 233 nt
Filed under: plant metagenome
Description: partial contains small subunit ribosomal RNA, internal transcribed spacer 1, and 5.8S ribosomal RNA
Rfam family: Eukaryotic small subunit ribosomal RNA (bases 1-52)
Source: RNAcentral
GGAAAAAAGUCGUAACAAGGUUUUCGUAGGUGAACCUGCGGAAGGAUCACUCAUAAUAAGUGUUUUAUGGCACUUUUUUAAAUCCAUAUCCACCUUGUGUGCAAUGUCAGGGUUGAUUUUUCUCUCGAGAGGAUCAACCCCAAACAUCAACUAUAUCUCAACUCUUUGUCUGAAAAAUAUUAUGAAUAAAACAAUUCAAAAUACAACUUUCAACAACGGAUCUCUUGGCUCUC